UGCUCGAUUAGCUCAGAGGGAGAGCACCGAGGGGCCAUCUCGGGGGGCGUAGGUUCGAAUCCUACAUCGACAAA
This 74-nucleotide transfer RNA is filed under the name Acaryochloris marina MBIC10699. RNAcentral describes it as "tRNA-Gly". It matches the Rfam family "tRNA". Rfam says of the family: Transfer RNA (tRNA) molecules are approximately 80 nucleotides in length. Their secondary structure includes four short double-helical elements and three loops (D, anti-codon, and T loops). The record is from RNAcentral. Lineage: Bacteria; Bacillati; Cyanobacteriota; Cyanophyceae; Acaryochloridales; Acaryochloridaceae.